Homo sapiens (human) is the source of this 440-nucleotide long non-coding RNA. Ensembl annotates it as long intergenic non-protein coding RNA 1339. The record is from Ensembl. NCBI's taxonomy places the organism in Eukaryota, Metazoa, Chordata, Mammalia, Primates, Hominidae.
CCCCGCUGGAAACUUGAUUUUGCGCUUUCCAGCCUCUAGAACUAAUAUGUGAAAAACAUUUAAAUCAGAAAGUAAAUGACAGGAUGAUUUGCAAGACACAGGGAUGUAAAAUUAAAAAGCCUCUCGAGCUCCAAAGGGGGAUGCAUCAGGACGAUAAUUCCAAGAGUUCAAUGGUGAAUUUCCUUGGCUUCCACUGAGCUACCUGUUAACUUCAACAAGCACACUGGCCUGGAGACUACAUGAUGGUGUAUCAGUAAUGGAUUUACAACUGCAAACAUCUCAAGCAGCAGUGCCACAUCCCUGCUACCUCCCUGCUUGUGCGUGUGUCCCUACAUUAUCCAAAAUAGGGGUGGGCUAAUGACGAUUGCAGGCUAACUCCAGCCUACCACUUGCUUCUAUAAAUAAAGUCUUAUUGUACACAAACAUAGCCAUUUAUUUAA